GAUGAACGCUAGCGAUAGGCUUAACACAUGCAAGUCGAGGGGCAGCAUGGUCUUAGCUUGCUAAGACUGAUGGCGACCGGCGCACGGGUGCGUAACGCGUAUGCAACUUGCCUCACAGAGGGGGAUAACCCGUCGAAAGACGGACUAAUACCGCGUACACUCCAUCUUGGGCAUCCAAGGUAGAGGAAAUGAAAUUCGCUGUGAGAUAGGCAUGCGUCCCAUUAGCUAGUUGGUGAGGUAACGGCUCACCAAGGCGACGAUGGGUAGGGGAACUGAGAGGUUGAACCCCCACACUGGUACUGAGACACGGACCAGACUCCUACGGGAGGCAGCAGUGAGGAAGAUUGGUCAAUGGGCGAGAGCCUGAACCAGCCAAGUCGCGUGAAGGAUGACUGUCUUAUGGAUUGUAAACUUCUUUUAUACGGGAAUAACAAGAGUCACGUGUGACUCCCUGCAUGUACCGUAUGAAUAAGCAUCGGCUAACUCCGUG
RNAcentral lists this ribosomal RNA (490 nucleotides) under uncultured bacterium. Its description in RNAcentral is "partial 16S ribosomal RNA". It matches the Rfam family "Bacterial small subunit ribosomal RNA", at positions 28 to 507 of the family's 1533-position model. The record is from RNAcentral.